Molecule: small nucleolar RNA, 89 nt
Organism: Mobula hypostoma (lesser devil ray)
Lineage: Eukaryota; Metazoa; Chordata; Chondrichthyes; Myliobatiformes; Myliobatidae
Product: small nucleolar RNA SNORD60
Exons: 1
Source: RefSeq, a predicted model, not a curated record
AGCCUUUGAUGAAUCUUUUUUACUUCUGACAUCUCCACUGAAAGUGUUGCAUAUGGCAAUGCUUGAUUAUACACUUGAUUCUGAGGCUC